CCGAGCGGAACGUGUCCGGGCCUCGGCCCGGGCUCAGUACCUCACCACCCGUGUCUACUUUAAAAACCGUUGCUUCGGCGGGCCCGCCGCCCAGUCGGCCGCCGGGAGGCCCAGCGCCCCUGGCCAGCGCCCGCCGAAGACCCCCCGAACACUAGCCUGAAGGUUUGCUGUCUGAGCGGUAAAAAAGAAUAUCGUAAACA
RNAcentral lists this unclassified non-coding RNA (200 nucleotides) under uncultured Onygenales. Its description in RNAcentral is "sequence contains ITS1". Lineage: Eukaryota; Fungi; Ascomycota; Eurotiomycetes; Onygenales. The record is from RNAcentral.